GGGCCCGUGGUCUAGCCCGGCUAUGACAUCCGCUUGACUUGCGGAGGAUCCCCAGUUCAAAUCUGGGCGGGCCCA
RNAcentral lists this transfer RNA (75 nucleotides) under archaeon. Its description in RNAcentral is "tRNA-Val". It matches the Rfam family "tRNA". From Rfam's summary of the family: Transfer RNA (tRNA) molecules are approximately 80 nucleotides in length. Their secondary structure includes four short double-helical elements and three loops (D, anti-codon, and T loops). The record is from RNAcentral. RNAcentral also lists the same sequence under 1 other name.